CAGUCGCCACGGUAAGACAGAGGAUGCAAGCGUUAUCCGGAAUGAUUGGGUGUAAAGCGCACGUAGGCGGAUCUUUAAGUCAGGGGUGAAAUCCCGAGGCUCAACCUCGGAACUGCCUUUGAUACUGGGGAUCUCGAGUCCGGAAGAGGUAAGUGGAACUGCGGGUGUAGAGGUGAAAUUCGUAGAUAUUCGCAAGAACACCAGUGGCGAAGGCGGCUUACUGGUCCGGAACUGACGCUGAGGUGCGAAAGCGUGGGGAGCAAACAGGAUUAGAUACCCCUGUAGUCCCUGUCUCUUAUAU
Molecule: ribosomal RNA, 301 nt
Filed under: uncultured bacterium
Lineage: Bacteria
Description: partial 16S ribosomal RNA
Rfam family: Bacterial small subunit ribosomal RNA
Source: RNAcentral